Long non-coding RNA from Vitis riparia (riverbank grape), 528 nucleotides. RefSeq lists it as uncharacterized. The record is from RefSeq and is a predicted model, not a curated record. The transcript is spliced from 2 exons. NCBI's taxonomy places the organism in Eukaryota, Viridiplantae, Streptophyta, Magnoliopsida, Vitales, Vitaceae.
UAGUAUCGAGAAUCCGUAAAAGGGGAGCCUUGCUUCCGAUCUCGGCAUCUCUCCCUCGAUGAUAGAGAAAUAGAUAGCGGGUUUCAAAGAUGAGCAAGGACUUAAGGUCUUUGGACCCCAGGCCUUGGCUUAGGCUCCAUUUGUCAAUCUUCUUUUGGUGUGAGAUUCUUGAUGUGGAUAAGGACAUAGUUAGCUCGGGUGUUAUGUGGCCAUUGUUCAGUGUCCUUGAUUGGAGUCUUUCAAUGAGGAUCGAGGAAGAUGAAGCCGUCCGCUCGAGAGAAGGCAAGGGCUCGGGCCUUGAAGCCAAGACCCUUUUUGGAUAGGUCAUUUUCAGGUGCAGUUUGUAGGUUGUUGGGCCAUUGGUUUUUUUUUUUCCUGUCUCAUGGGUUUUAUUCUUAGGUCUGUCUUGACUGCUUAUUUUUUAUGUGAUAUUUCUGUGGGCUUUUGAUUGUUAACUUUUCCUAUUUUACCGACAUCCAGCUGUACGUUUUAUUUGGGAUACUUCGUCAAUCGUCACUGUUUUAUUAA